RNAcentral lists this ribosomal RNA (497 nucleotides) under uncultured bacterium. RNAcentral describes it as "partial 16S ribosomal RNA". It matches the Rfam family "Bacterial small subunit ribosomal RNA", at positions 28 to 507 of the family's 1533-position model. The record is from RNAcentral.
GAUGAACGCUGGCGGCGUGCCUAAUACAUGCAAGUCGAGCGAACAGACGAGGAGCUUGCUCCUCUGACGUUAGCGGCGGACGGGUGAGUAACACGUGGAUAACCUACCUAUAAGACUGGGAUAACUUCGGGAAACCGGAGCUAAUACCGGAUAAUAUAUUGAACCGCAUGGUUCAAUAGUGAAAGACGGUUUUGCUGUCACUUAUAGAUGGAUCCGCGCCGCAUUAGCUAGUUGGUAAGGUAACGGCUUACCAAGGCAACGAUGCGUAGCCGACCUGAGAGGGUGGUCGGCCACACUGGAACCGAGACACGGUCCAGACUCCUACGGGAGGCAGCAGUAGGGAAUCUUCCGCAAUGGGCGAAAGCUUGACGGAGCAACGCCGCGUGAGUGAUGAAGGUCUUCGGAUCGUAAAACUCUGUUAUUAGGGAAGAACAAAUGUGUAAGUAACUAUGCACGUCUUGACGGUACCUAAUCAGAAAGCCACGGCUAACUACGUG